GCGCGAGUGGCGAAACUGGUAUCCGCGUCAGACUUAGGAUCUGGUGUCCGAAAGGGCUUGGGGGUUCGAGUCCCCCCUCGCGCA
This 84-nucleotide transfer RNA is filed under the name Actinomycetota bacterium. RNAcentral's name for it is "tRNA-Leu". It matches the Rfam family "tRNA". From Rfam's summary of the family: Transfer RNA (tRNA) molecules are approximately 80 nucleotides in length. Their secondary structure includes four short double-helical elements and three loops (D, anti-codon, and T loops). Further hydrogen bonds mediate the characteristic L-shaped molecular structure. tRNAs have two regions of fundamental functional importance: the anti-codon, which is responsible for specific mRNA codon recognition, and the 3' end, to which the tRNAs corresponding amino acid is attached (by aminoacyl-tRNA synthetases). tRNAs cope with the degeneracy of the genetic code in two manners: having more than one tRNA (with a specific anti-codon) for a particular amino acid; and 'wobble' base-pairing, i.e. permitting non-standard base-pairing at the 3rd anti-codon position. The record is from RNAcentral. Lineage: Bacteria; Bacillati; Actinomycetota.